UAACCGGCGAUACCCGAAUGGGGAAACCCAGUGUGACUCGUCACACUAUCAUUAACUGAAUCCAUAGGUUAAUGAGGCGAACCGGGGGAACUGAAACAUCUAAGUACCCCGAGGAAAAGAAAUCAACCGAGAUUCCCCCAGUAGCGGCGAGCGAACGGGGAGGAGCCCAGAGCCUGAAUCAGCAUGUGUGUUAGUGGAAGCGUCUGGAAAGGCGCGCGAUACAGGGUGACAGCCCCGUACACAAAAGCGCAUGUGCUGUGAGCUCGAUGAGUAGGGCGGGACACGUGGUAUCCUGUCUGAAUAUGGGGGGACCAUCCUCCAAGGCUAAAUACUCCUGACUGACCGAUAGUGAACCAGUACCGUGAGGGAAAGGCGAAAAGAACCCCGGCGAGGGGAGUGAAAAAGAACCUGAAACCGUGUACGUACAAGCAGUGGGAGCCCCACCACUAAGCCAGUGGUGAACUCCACAUACGCAUCCUUUGCUGAGGAUACGGUUAACGGAGCGAAAGCGACGUUCAACCGCAAAAGAAGCAGAGGGGGCUUAGUGGUGGGGUGACUGCGUACCUUUUGUAUAAUGGGUCAGCGACUUAUAUUCUGUAGCAAGGUUAACCGAAUAGGGGAGCCGGAGGGAAACCGAGUCUUAAUUGGGCGUUAAGUUGCAGGGUAUAGACCCGAAACCCGGUGAUCUAGCCAUGGGCAGGUUGAAGGUUGGGUAACACUAACUGGAGGACCGAACCGACUAAUGUUGAAAAAUUAGCGGAUGACCUGUGGCUGGGGGUGAAAGGCCAAUCAAACCGGGAGAUAGCUGGUUCUCCCCGAAAGCUAUUUAGGUAGCGCCUCGUGAAUUCAUCUCCGGGGGUAGAGCACUGUUUCGGCUAGGGGGCCAUCCCGGCUUACCAACCCGAUGCAAACUGCGAAUACCGGAGAAUGUUAUCACGGGAGACACACGGCGGGUGCUAACGUCCGUCGUGAAGAGGGAAACAACCCAGACCGCCAGCUAAGGUCCCAAAGUCAUGGUUAAGUGGGAAACGAUGUGGGAAGGCCCAGACAGCCAGGAUGUUGGCUUAGAAGCAGCCAUCAUUUAAAGAAAGCGUAAUAGCUCACUGGUCGAGUCGGCCUGCGCGGAAGAUGUAACGGGGCUAAACCAU
RNAcentral lists this ribosomal RNA (1148 nucleotides) under Salmonella enterica subsp. enterica serovar Heidelberg. RNAcentral's name for it is "partial 23S ribosomal RNA". It matches the Rfam family "Bacterial large subunit ribosomal RNA", at positions 101 to 1190 of the family's 2925-position model. The record is from RNAcentral. Lineage: Bacteria; Pseudomonadati; Pseudomonadota; Gammaproteobacteria; Enterobacterales; Enterobacteriaceae.